GACGAACGCUGGCGGCGUGCUUAACACAUGCAAGUCGAACGGUGACGCUCCAGCUUGCUGGAGUGGAUCAGUGGCGAACGGGUGAGUAACACGUGAGCAACCUGCCCCUGACUCUGGAAUAAGCGCUGGAAACGGCGUCUACUACUGGAUACGAGACGGGUCCGCAUGGGCACUUUCUGGAAAGGUUUUCGGUUGGGGAUGGGGUCGCGGCAAAUCAGCUUGUUGGUGAGGUAAUGGCUCACCAAGGAGAGGACGGGUAGCCGGCCUGGGAGGGCGACCGGCCACACUGGGACAGGGACACGGCCCGGGCGCAUACGGGGAGCAGGAGUGGGGAAUAGUGCACAACGUGCGAAGGCCUGAUGGAGCGACGCCGCGUUGGAGAUGACGGCCGUCGGGUUGUAAACCUCUUUCGGCAGGAAAGAAGCGAAAGGGACGGUACCUGCAGAAGAAGCACGGCCUAACUAGGU
Molecule: ribosomal RNA, 467 nt
Filed under: uncultured bacterium
Lineage: Bacteria
Description: partial 16S ribosomal RNA
Rfam family: Bacterial small subunit ribosomal RNA
Source: RNAcentral